Molecule: non-coding RNA, 112 nt
Organism: Xylariales sp. PMI_506
Lineage: Eukaryota; Fungi; Ascomycota; Sordariomycetes; Xylariales
Source: the annotation of a GenBank genome assembly
GGCGUAGUGGCAGAGUGGUCUAAUGCGCAAGACUCGAAUCAACUAUGGAUGUUACAUCCAGGUUCGCAAUCUUGUUCCUUCGGGAGCGUCUGUUCGAAUCAGGCCUACGUCG